CUUUGACAAUGUUUCAACUGAUAUACAGUGCAGUUAAGAGUAUAUCAUUCGUUGGUGUUUUGUCUUGAACUUGUAUAGCCUCAUAAGUCCUUUGCUAAUCUGUGAAGGCCCAGCUGACAACUGAUAAGUAUAAGUUUGACUCAUGACUGUAAAUCCACAAGCCUGAAUGUCAGGUCAACUACAGUGGCCCGUCUUGGUAAAGAGAGCGAAGGUGUCAUAUAGGAUUGCUCACUCCAGUACAAGAUGAGGAACACUUCACUCAUUGGUGAUGGAGAUUCAAAAUCAUCUCUACUGUAUUGGCCCUCAACCCCUCCAAACUCAGGAGGUGAUGUAUGUCAACCAUGUGGCAAAAGAUCUCAGCUCUGUACUUUGCGAAAUCUGAGAGCCAUCGAGAAAAAGAGAGGUGUAACGCUGGGAGAGAGAGCGUUUAGCAUACUGACUCAGGAGAAGAUUGGAUGUCUCCAGUCCUAUUACACAAAACCUCUGAGGUUGUUCAACUCUUUCCACUGUUAAUGUAAGAAGCAAUGGUGGCCACGUUGCUGCACAGUACAGCACCAGCACAGAUGGAGACCCACAUCGUGACAGAUGCCCACCUACUAAUGAAAACAAAUGGUGCUUUUACAUUAUAACACAAACAGGUCAAACACAGAAGACUCAAAAUCACGCAUGUAUCAGUAGAACUGUGCCUGCGGUCCCAUUUUUUUUUUCUUCUUUAUCUUUUAAAGAUAUCCUUCGAACUACAGAACCCUAGAACUACGGAUGCCUCGAACUACCAAGGCCAGUUCCAACGAAUUCAAGCUAUCUGUGUUAUACUGUACUUUUACAAAAGGCAUUACAGCCAAAGAAGCACAGCACCAUCACACAAGGGAAGUCUUUCUACCCACCUCAAACCCCCUCAUUUAUGAAGCUUGUGCACCACAGAUGAGCUAAUGGAGAUCAAGUAUGUACCUGGCGUGGCACAAAAAUAGAAUGGGAGUUUCCAUAAGUUCACACCUGGUUGAAGGGCCCUAAGACAGUCUUUGUGACCAAACCAAGAGUAGAAGCAGCUUUUGCUAUCACUACUGCAGACUGGAAUUUGGGGGCCAUUAGCACCCAGACGUUUAUGCCAUUUCUAAAAUUGUUGGUCUCAGCCCGAACCAUGGACAGUGGCAUCAAAAGGGACUGUACCCAAAUAAAGAGGGCAGAGACUGCCAUAAGCUUAGAAAAACAGGAAAGGAACCAUCUUUUAGAGGAGGAAAAUUGGACCGGCAGAUGUCUCUACUGCUCAGGAAAAGGGACUGAUUAUAAAUAAAGAAGUCCUUCUGCAA
Molecule: long non-coding RNA, 1307 nt
Filed under: Aplysia californica (California sea hare)
Lineage: Eukaryota; Metazoa; Mollusca; Gastropoda; Aplysiida; Aplysiidae
Description: uncharacterized LOC118477539, transcript variant X1
Source: RNAcentral